AUGCGGGGCCGCCCUCCCUCCUACCUCAGUCCCCGCGCGGCUGCCGGCACAACCUCGCAGCGCCUCAGUGCCCAUCCGGCCGCCGGCAUGGCCCGGCACGCAGCCGGCUGCCUGCUGCUGCUGUGCUGCGCUCUGCCGCUGGGCUCUGCUCGCGCCACCCCGCCGAGGACGCCGUCGUUCGGCGGGCGCGUGGCAGAGAACCGCCCGGCGGGCACGCGCGUGGAGGGGCUCAGCGUCCCCCUGACGCGCCUGGGCGCCCUGCCGUGGUGCGCCCAGGUGCGGGGCCGCCGCUGGCGCCUGCAGCUCCUGGGCGAAGGCCACGCGCACUUCCAGGCGGCGCUGCACGCCCGCACCGCCCGCGUCUGGCUGCGCACCCGCCGCCCGCUGGACCGGGAGGCGCGCCCGCUCUACUCCCUCCGCCUGGCCUUGCGCUGCACCCGCCGCUCCGCCGCGCCCGCCGAGCCGCUGGCCGCCCUCACCGUCCGCGUGCUGGACGCCAACGACAACGCCCCGCGCUUCGUCGGCGCCCGCCCCGCGCGACUCCGCCUGGACGAGACGCUGCCGCUCGGCUCCGCCGUGUGGCGGGCGCGCGCCGAGGACGCGGACGCGGACGCCAACGCCGAGCUGCGCUACUUCGCCCGCCCGCCCAGCGAGCACUUCUUCGUGGUGCCGCGUAGCGGGAGCGUGCUGCUCGUCCGCUCCCUGCUCCACCUGCGCGCCCCCAUCCCGCUGCGUCUCUACGCGCGGGACCGCGGCCGCCCGGCGCUGCUCAGCGCCCCGCUCGAGCUCGAGGUGCUGCCGCAGGCCAAGCGUCUGCCCCCGGCGCCCGGCCCCGCCGACGGCCCUCAGCGCCGCCGCCGGACCCCGCCGUUGUCGCUGUCAUCGCCGGUGCCCGAGGACGCCCGCCCCGGCCGUCCCCCGGGCCGCUUUGAGCCUGCGGCCCCGACCGUCGAGGAGUCGGCGCUGCCUGUGGAGACGCAGAGCGGCGUGGCGCGGCCGGCUGCCCGCCUGCACGGCGCCGGGACGGCCGGUGGAGAGCGCCUGGGGCGCUUCCCGGAGCGGCAAGAUGGGUGCCGGGCCCCCGUCCCUGCAGUCAGCCCCUCUCUUGGUCACCAGCCUCGUGGUCCGCCUGCCGGUAGCGCUAAAGGUGCCCAGGACCGCAGUUUGAGGAGCAGGGACCCGCAGCUGUGUCGUGGCAGUUAG
RNAcentral lists this long non-coding RNA (1203 nucleotides) under Anas platyrhynchos platyrhynchos (common mallard). RNAcentral's name for it is "lncRNA (ENSAPLG00000021264.1)". Lineage: Eukaryota; Metazoa; Chordata; Aves; Anseriformes; Anatidae. The record is from RNAcentral.